RNAcentral lists this ribosomal RNA (943 nucleotides) under Salmonella enterica subsp. enterica serovar Typhimurium. RNAcentral describes it as "partial 23S ribosomal RNA". It matches the Rfam family "Bacterial large subunit ribosomal RNA", at positions 1 to 975 of the family's 2925-position model. The record is from RNAcentral. Lineage: Bacteria; Pseudomonadati; Pseudomonadota; Gammaproteobacteria; Enterobacterales; Enterobacteriaceae.
GGGUUGUGAGGUUAAGCGACUAAGCGUACACGGUGGAUGCCCUGGCAGUCAGAGGCGAUGAAGGACGUGCUAAUCUGCGAUAAGCGCCGGUAAGGUGAUAUGAACCGUUAUAACCGGCGAUUUCCGAAUGGGGAAACCCAGUGUGAUUCGUCACACUAUCAUUAACUGAAUCCAUAGGUUAAUGAGGCGAACCGGGGGAACUGAAACAUCUAAGUACCCCGAGGAAAAGAAAUCAACCGAGAUUCCCCCAGUAGCGGCGAGCGAACGGGGAGGAGCCCAGAGCCUGAAUCAGCAUGUGUGUUAGUGGAAGCGUCUGGAAAGGCGCGCGAUACAGGGUGACAGCCCCGUACACAAAAGCGCAUGUGCUGUGAGCUCGAUGAGUAGGGCGGGACACGUGGUAUCCUGUCUGAAUAUGGGGGGACCAUCCUCCAAGGCUAAAUACUCCUGACUGACCGAUAGUGAACCAGUACCGUGAGGGAAAGGCGAAAAGAACCCCGGCGAGGGGAGUGAAAAAGAACCUGAAACCGUGUACGUACAAGCAGUGGGAGCACCCUUCGGGGUGUGACUGCGUACCUUUUGUAUAAUGGGUCAGCGACUUAUAUUCUGUAGCAAGGUUAACCGUAUAGGGGAGCCGGAGGGAAACCGAGUCUUAACCGGGCGUUAAGUUGCAGGGUAUAGACCCGAAACCCGGUGAUCUAGCCAUGGGCAGGUUGAAGGUUGGGUAACACUAACUGGAGGACCGAACCGACUAAUGUUGAAAAAUUAGCGGAUGACCUGUGGCUGGGGGUGAAAGGCCAAUCAAACCGGGAGAUAGCUGGUUCUCCCCGAAAGCUAUUUAGGUAGCGCCUCGUGAAUUCAUCUCCGGGGGUAGAGCACUGUUUCGGCUAGGGGGCCAUCCCGGCUUACCAACCCGAUGCAAACUGCGAAUACCGGAGAAUGUUAU